This 102-nucleotide transfer RNA is filed under the name Pleurotus ostreatus PC15. RNAcentral describes it as "tRNA-Pro". It matches the Rfam family "tRNA". From Rfam's summary of the family: Transfer RNA (tRNA) molecules are approximately 80 nucleotides in length. Their secondary structure includes four short double-helical elements and three loops (D, anti-codon, and T loops). Lineage: Eukaryota; Fungi; Basidiomycota; Agaricomycetes; Agaricales; Pleurotaceae. The record is from RNAcentral.
GGCCUGGUGGUCUAGCGGUUACGAUUCUUGCUUCGGGUAAUCCCCUGCCUUUUACAAGGCGUGAAAUGCGAGAGGCCCCGGGUUCAAAUCCCGGCCAGGCCC